AUGAGAAGCAGAGGUCAUGUUAAUAAAUGCUCAUUACGAAGCUGCUCUAACACAGAAGCAAGGGAAAUACUCUGGGCUCGCCACCUACAGUCCCAAUCAGAGUCGGCAGGUCAGUAUAAAUCUGAAGAACACCCACAUGUCCAAGUUUACACUCACCACUUCCCGAAUCUGACAAGCAUCCCCAGGUGGAGAAUUACAAACCUUCCAGAACCUGUGUUACUGACAAGGGUGUCUUAUUCCUCAGACACACUGGGAUACAAAAAUGGCCAAGAACAUCUGUUCAAAAAGCUCCUCCACAAAUGA
Molecule: long non-coding RNA, 303 nt
Filed under: Mustela putorius furo (domestic ferret)
Lineage: Eukaryota; Metazoa; Chordata; Mammalia; Carnivora; Mustelidae
Description: lncRNA (ENSMPUG00000029434.1)
Source: RNAcentral